GGAGGUGGGUGGGGCACACAGCUGCAUGCUAUUUCCAUUCUUUCAUUGAUUUAUUUGGGCACGUCAGCCUGCAUUCAUUUAACAAAUCUUCCUGUGGGGCUUACUGCUGUGUGCCGGAUACAAAGGCUAUUCAGACCCCAUCCUUGCCUUUAAACUGUUCACAGCACGAGGGAGGCAAAUCUACAGUUAGUCGUGUUGUUAAAGGACCAGUGCCUAGGACUCACGCCAGUGGAAAGGUGUUCAAAGAAGGGCGAUGAUGGUGCAGGUCCCACUGGGCAGGCCCGCUGAGUUUCCAGCUUCCAUGGGGCUCUCUUCCCUCUGUCUCUCUAGUCUUACAGAAUCCUGGGCCCUACGUUCCACACAUUCUGGGCCAUUCUCCAGGCAUCCCUGUGGUUUCCAGCACAUUUUUGAGAAGGACAUGGGGACCCAAGCCCCAAGAACAACAGUUCCUCGGUGUCUCUGGAAUGGCUCAUGGGGGUGGCUGAUAGCCUUUUUCUACUUAGCUGGGGCCGAAGCACUCCUCCCAAGGCAUAAACCCUUCCCCAGAUGUGGUGGGCGGGCUCGUCCACGGGAAAGGUUUAAGCAAAUAAACCUGCCACACAGUUUUCAAGUGUCCCAUCUGAGGAAAGCUGGAAAGAAGGCAACACACAUAAAUUAACUCAGCAUGCUUUGCAUAAAGGAGUGGGAAGCAAAUUCAACGGGCCACAGAAACAUGAAGGGGAGCCUCAAUUCCACCCAAAUGUAAUUUUUUCCAGGUUAACCACAAGUUUCUAUAUUUAAAAAUUCAAAGAUUCUGAGCUUCUUAGAUUUUUGAGUUUUUCUCAAGUGUAGUUCUUAUGUGUCUAGGCCUCCCCAGUCUAUGGACAUAGAUUGUGACUUCUGAAUAAUAAUUAUCCACAUUUUGCUGGCUGUUUCCCCAACUGCUUCUGCAGGGUCCAUAGCCCAUCCCAAAUGUCUUACCGCUGGGCAGGCUCUUCUGUCCCCCGACACCCCCUGUCAGAUGGGGCCUCUUUGGUGGCUCCAGUUCCCACCAGCCUCCGAGGACACUGCUUUCUCCCCUUCUCCCUUCAGACCCAGGGGUGGAAAAAGCUUCCUGUAGUUGCUGGCCCCUAGGUGCCUCCCUGUCCUUGGUUGAUGCCCUUAACCCUCUCUGUGUCUCUGUAAAAAGUCCUUUCAUUAAAUUCUUGUUCAGUUAA
Molecule: long non-coding RNA, 1196 nt
Filed under: Equus caballus (horse)
Lineage: Eukaryota; Metazoa; Chordata; Mammalia; Perissodactyla; Equidae
Description: lncRNA (ENSECAG00000050516.1)
Source: RNAcentral